UUGGUCAAGUUAUAGUUUUACUUUUAUAACUUUUUGCUGAGAAAGCUUAAAAAAUCCAGUCUAUAUAGUUGUUUAAUUGUCACUUCGAUUGGUAAUAUCAAUAAGCAUGCAAAUAAAGCAACGACCAACUUUUCUGAGUACGUGACAACUCUUCAUGAACCACAGCCUUUUAUCAAUGCAUGUGUUGUCUCUUGACCUUUUUGGCACAUACUUCUAGCACUUACACAGCAUUUUCAUCAUGUACAAUCACAUCAUUUUCCCACCACCAUCUUUAUAAGUAUCGUCCUACAACAUCGAACAUUACCUAUCCGCAUUCUCAUCAUCGACUGAGAGUAGAAAUAACUUUCACAAAACUUAAAAUAUCAAACAAAAUACAUACAGUUAUGUGAAUAUGGGAGAAGAAAAAUCGGUGAACAAUUAUGACAUUGUUUACAUCGGUGAUUCCUCUAAUUCAAACGACGACCACU
This 467-nucleotide long non-coding RNA is filed under the name Brassica napus (rape). Its description in RNAcentral is "long non-coding RNA (BNAP_LNC026931)". The record is from RNAcentral. Lineage: Eukaryota; Viridiplantae; Streptophyta; Magnoliopsida; Brassicales; Brassicaceae.